CCUACGGGGGGCUGCAGUGGGGAAUAUUGCACAAUGGGGGAAACCCUGAUGCAGCGACGCCGCGUGAGUGAAGAAGUAUUUCGGUAUGUAAAGCUCUAUCAGCAGGGAAGAAAAAAGACGGUACCUGACUAAGAAGCCACGGCUAACUACGUGCCAGCAGCCGCGGUAAUACGUAGGGGGCAAGCGUUAUCCGGAUUUACUGGGUGGAAAGGGAGCGUAGACGGCGCGGCAAGUCUGAAGUGAAAGGCAGGGGGUUAACCCCUGAACUGCUUUGGAAACUGCCAUGCUAGAGUGCUGGAGAGGUAAGUGGAAUUCCUAGUGUAGCGGUGAAAUGCGGAGAUAUUAGGAGGAACACCAGUGGCGAAGGCGGCUUACUGGACAGUAACUGACGUUGAGGCUCGAAAGCGUGGGGAGCAAACAGGAUUAGAUACCCUAGUAGUC
Molecule: ribosomal RNA, 441 nt
Filed under: uncultured bacterium
Lineage: Bacteria
Description: partial 16S ribosomal RNA
Rfam family: Bacterial small subunit ribosomal RNA
Source: RNAcentral